AGAGGAUUGCUGCCUGGCUGCUCUAAUGCUGGGAUAAUGGGGCCAACAGUCAGCAAUUGGAAGGAAAGGAAGCCCAACAGCUGGGAUCCCUUGCUAGAAACUGGGGAAUUGAGAAGGGAAUUGGAAAAGAGGCAGCAAUUGGCACGGCUCCUCUGAA
Long non-coding RNA from Athene cunicularia (burrowing owl), 157 nucleotides. RefSeq lists it as uncharacterized. The record is from RefSeq and is a predicted model, not a curated record. The transcript is spliced from 3 exons. Lineage: Eukaryota; Metazoa; Chordata; Aves; Strigiformes; Strigidae.